UGGGGAAUUUUGGACAAUGGGGGCAACCCUGAUCCAGCAAUGCCGCGUGUGUGAAGAAGGCCUUCGGGUUGUAAAGCACUUUUGUCCGGAAAGAAAUCGCCCUGGCUAAUAUCCGGGGUGGAUGACGGUACUGGAAGAAUAAGCACCGGCUAACUACGUGCCAGCAGCCGCGGUAAUACGUAGGGUGCGAGCGUUAAUCGGAAUUACUGGGCGUAAAGCGUGCGCAGGCGGUUGUGCAAGACAGAUGUGAAAUCCCCGGGCUUAACCUGGGAAUGGCAUUUGUGACUGCACGGCUAGAGUGUGUCAGAGGGGGGUAGAAUUCCACGUGUAGCAGUGAAAUGCGUAGAUAUGUGGAGGAACACCGAUGGCGAAGGCAGGCCCCGUGGGAUAACACUGCGCUCAUGCACGAAAGCCGUGGGGAGCAAACAGGAUUAGAUACCCUGGUAGUCCACGCCCUAAACGAUGUCAACUAGUUGUCGGGUCUUAAUUGACUGGUAACGCGCUAACGCGUGAAGUUGACCGCCUGGGGAGUACGUCGCAAGAUUAAAACUCAAAUGAAUUGC
This 563-nucleotide ribosomal RNA is filed under the name uncultured bacterium. RNAcentral describes it as "partial 16S ribosomal RNA". It matches the Rfam family "Bacterial small subunit ribosomal RNA", at positions 355 to 913 of the family's 1533-position model. The record is from RNAcentral.